Molecule: ribosomal RNA, 497 nt
Filed under: uncultured bacterium
Lineage: Bacteria
Description: partial 16S ribosomal RNA
Rfam family: Bacterial small subunit ribosomal RNA
Source: RNAcentral
GAUGAACGCUGGCGGCGUGCCUAAUACAUGCAAGUCGAGCGAACAGACGAGGAGCUUGCUCCUCUGACGUUAGCGGCGGACGGGUGAGUAACACGUGGAUAACCUACCUAUAAGACUGGGAUAACUUCGGGAAACCGGAGCUAAUACCGGAUAAUAUAUUGAACCGCAUGGUUCAAUAGUGAAAGACGGUUUUGCUGUCACUUAUAGAUGGAUCCGCGCCGCAUUAGCUAGUUGGUAAGGUAACGGCUUACCAAGGCAACGAUGCGUAGCCGACCUGAGAGGGUGAUCGGCCACCCUGGAACUGAGCCACGGUCCAGACUCCUACGGGAGGCAGCAGUAGGGAAUCUUCCGCAAUGGGCGAAAGCCUGACGGAGCAACGCCGAGUGAGUGAUGAAGGUCUUCGGAUCGUAAAACUCUGUUAUUAGGGAAGAACAAAUGUGUAAGUAACUAUGCACGUCUUGACGGUACCUAAUCAGAAAGCAACGGCUAACUACGUG